Molecule: non-coding RNA, 30 nt
Filed under: synthetic construct
Source: RNAcentral
GGUGCGAAGGGCGUCGUCGCCCCGAGCGCC